RNAcentral lists this unclassified non-coding RNA (358 nucleotides) under soil metagenome. RNAcentral describes it as "partial contains 5.8S ribosomal RNA, internal transcribed spacer 2, and large subunit ribosomal RNA". The stretch from base 1 to 120 matches the Rfam family "5.8S ribosomal RNA", at positions 35 to 154 of the family's 154-position model. The record is from RNAcentral.
GAUGAAGAACGUAGCGAAAUGCGAUAAGUAAUGUGAAUUGCAGAAUUCAGUGAAUCAUCGAAUCUUUGAACGCACAUUGCGCCCGUCAGUAUUCUGGCGGGCAUGCCUGUUCGAGCGUCAUUACGCCCCUCAAGUCCCCUGUGGACUUGGUGUUGGGGAUCGGCGAGGCUGGUUUUCCAGCACAGCCGUCCCUUAAAUUAAUUGGCGGUCUCGCCGUGGCCCUCCUCUGCGCAGUAGUAAAACACUCGCAACAGGAGCCCGGCGCGGUCCACUGCCGUAAAACCCCCCAACUUUUUAUAGUUGACCUCGAAUCAGGUAGGACUACCCGCUGAACUUAAGCAGAUCAAUAAGCGGAGGA